GAUGAACGCUGGCGGCGUGCCUAAUACAUGCAAGUCGAGCGAACAGACGAGGAGCUUGCUCCUCUGACGUUAGCGGCGGACGGGUGAGUAACACGUGGAUAACCUACCUAUAAGACUGGGAUAACUUCGGGAAACCGGAGCUAAUACCGGAUAAUAUAUUGAACCGCAUGGUUCAAUAGUGAAAGACGGUUUUGCUGUCACUUAUAGAUGGAUCCGCGCCGCAUUAGCUAGUUGGUAAGGUAACGGCUUACCGAGGCAACGAUGAGUAGCCGACCUGAGAGGGUGAUCGGCCACACUGGAACUGAGACACGGUCCAGACUCCUACGGGAGGCAGCAGUAGGGAAUCUUCCGCAAUGGGCGAAAGCCUGACGGAGCAACGCCGCGUGAGUGAUGAAGGUCUUCGGAUCGUAAAACUCUGUUAUUAGGGAAGAACAAAUGUGUAAGUAACUAUGCACGUCUUGACGGUACCUAAUCAGAAAGCCACGGCUAACUACGUG
Molecule: ribosomal RNA, 497 nt
Filed under: uncultured bacterium
Lineage: Bacteria
Description: partial 16S ribosomal RNA
Rfam family: Bacterial small subunit ribosomal RNA
Source: RNAcentral